Molecule: ribosomal RNA, 747 nt
Filed under: Triticum aestivum (bread wheat)
Lineage: Eukaryota; Viridiplantae; Streptophyta; Magnoliopsida; Poales; Poaceae
Description: partial small subunit ribosomal RNA
Source: RNAcentral
AUGCGUUUUUUGGGUUGUUCAUAUGGGUAUCUUAUCUUCUCCUGUAGGGAGCACUUCCUCCUUGUUGAUGCUUACACGUGCACUAAGGUGAAGCCCCCCAAACUCCCAGCAAAACGCAACUGUGAAAUCUAUUGUGGGUUCCUUAUGGCUCCACUCAGUUCGCCAAAGUCGCGCCUCCUCCUUUGCUCGCGAAAGUCCAUGUUCCUAUGGAAAGUUGGAACAACCUCCUGGACGGAGAGCCCCUUUGUUGGUGAAGCUAAAUUUAUUUAUCAGAUUGUGCUCUUUAAAGGUCAGAUGUUUGCCAUGGACUCUCUUUAUAGGCUCAAUACCAUAUCCUUGGCACCUCAGCUCGGCAUGCAGGAAGUAACAGUUUUGUGGGGAGAGGACGUGGUUGUUGUAGGCUCAAGUAAUGUUCCAUGGUUGGUGGUACGUGGUGACAUGCUUCUCAUGGUUGAUGUGGUUGAGUACUUCUUUCAAGUCUUCCGCUUAGAUUUCUCAGCCAAACCAGCUAAGUGGGUCAAACUGGAAAAGUUGGAAAAUUGGGCUAUGUUUGUUAGCAUUGGGUUGAGGCGCCCUACAUUUUCUUGCAUGAACCCUGAAAGAUGGGGUGGAAAGAGUAAUUGCAUUUACAUUUCGAGUCUUUCAUCUCAAGAUUCUGAUGCUCCUUGGAUAGCAACAGAGCUCGGUCAGUCGAUUUACAGUGCAGCUCACCGCGAUUCAUACGGAAGGCGCAAGGCAGGAGAUUGA